This 342-nucleotide long non-coding RNA is filed under the name Homo sapiens (human). RNAcentral's name for it is "non-protein coding lnc-ST8SIA2-4:1". The record is from RNAcentral. Lineage: Eukaryota; Metazoa; Chordata; Mammalia; Primates; Hominidae.
AAAAAACCACCAAGUGUUGAAGGGCCCCGCACUAUCGCUGUGUCAGAUAGAGAUGGAAUGCACAUCAUUAAAGUGGCCAACGAAAAUGACCCAGAGCGUGCCCGGAGACCAGGUGUCUCACUAACUUUUGCCCUCGCAACACGCCAGCCAGCAAGCCAACCUGGACUUUCAAAACACAAGCUUGGACUUAUCUGUUAACUUUAACACCUACCAGGUGGUUUACCUUUAGUAGUUUGUUUGUUUCACAGCCAGCAGCAAUGCCAAUAUGGCAGUCAUUGUCAGCCUAGAAAAGGAACUCGCUCCAUUAUUUGAAGAACUGAGACAAGCUGUGGAAGUUUCUUA